This 465-nucleotide ribosomal RNA is filed under the name uncultured bacterium. Its description in RNAcentral is "partial 16S ribosomal RNA". It matches the Rfam family "Bacterial small subunit ribosomal RNA", at positions 338 to 795 of the family's 1533-position model. The record is from RNAcentral.
CCUACGGGAGGCAGCAGUGGGGAAUAUUGCGCAAUGGGCGAAAGCCUGACGCAGCGACGCCGCGUGAGGGAUGAAGGUCUUCGGAUCGUAAACCUCUGUCAGCAGGGAAGAACGGUCGCUGUGCUAAUCAGCAGUGACUUGACGGUACCUGCAAAGGAAGCACCGGCUAACUCCGUGCCAGCAGCCGCGGUAAUACGGAGGGUGCGAGCGUUAAUCGGAAUUACUGGGCGUAAAGCGCUCGUAGGCGGUAUGUCAAGUCAAGGGUGAAAUCCCCGCGCUCAACGUGGGAACUGCCUUUGAAACUGGCAAACUGGAGUGUGUGAGAGGGUAGUGGAAUUCCAGGUGGAGGAGUGAAAUCCGUAGAUAUCUGGAGGAACAUCAGUGGCGAAGGCGACUAUCUGGCACAUAACUGACGCUGAGGAGCGAAAGCGUGGGUAGCAAACAGGAUUAGAUACCCUAGUAGUC